RNAcentral lists this ribosomal RNA (433 nucleotides) under uncultured bacterium. RNAcentral describes it as "partial 16S ribosomal RNA". It matches the Rfam family "Bacterial small subunit ribosomal RNA", at positions 29 to 507 of the family's 1533-position model. The record is from RNAcentral.
AACGAACGCUGGCGGCAUGCCUAACACAUGCAAGUCGAACGAAGGCUUCGGCCUUAGUGGCGCACGGGUGCGUAACGCGUGGGAAUCUGCCCUUUGGUUCGGAAUAACAGCUGGAAACGGCUGCUAAUACCGGAUGAUGACGAAAGUCCAAAGAUUUAUCGCCAGAGGAUGAGCCCGCGUUGGAUUAGGUAGUUGGUGGGGUAAAGGCCUACCAAGCCGACGAUCCAUAGCUGGUCUGAGAGGAUGAUCAGCCACACUGGGACUGAGACACGGCCCAGACUCCUACGGGAGGCAGCAGUGGGGAAUAUUGGACAAUGGGCGCAAGCCUGAUCCAGCAAUGCCGCGUGAGUGAUGAAGGCCCUAGGGUUGUAAAGCUAUUUUACCCGGGAAGAUAAUGACUGUACCGGGAGAAUAAGCCCCGGCUAACUCCGUG